CCUGUGCAGCAAUGACAUCCGAAUCUCCACCAUCUGAUUCCCCUGUCUUUUCAUAACUUUUGACCAAAUUCUGCCACAAACAUUGGAAAAGAAACGUUUAAACUCACCACGUGUGAAUAAAAGUUAUUUCAUCAUGCCCCUUGGCAGUUUUGCUUUCAAUUUAUAUUAUCUGGUCCUAGCUUGCUCCCUUAGUGACUCGACUCCCUAGUGCUCCCUUAGUGACUCAAACCUAUAACCUUAAGGUAAGGGACUCGAACCUAUAACCUUAAGGUAAGGGACUCGAACCUAUAACCUUAAGGUAAGGGACUCGAACCUAUAACCUUAAGGUAAGGGACUCGAACCUAUAACCUUAAGGUAAGGGACUCGAACCUAUAACCUUAAGGUAAGGGACUCGAACCUAUAACCUUAAGGUAAGGGACUCGAACCUAUAACCUUAAGGUAAGGGACUCGAACCUAUAACCUUAAGGUAAGGGACUCGAACCUAUAACCUUAAGGUAAGGGACUCGAACCUAUAACCUUAAGGUUGGAGGUGAAGGACGCUUACCAUCUAGGCAGAUUCUAGCUCAUUAAAGAUGCAACAAUAGACACAUAACACACAUAGUAACAUAGAUAUACAACCGUACCAUCUCUAUAACAGAAUUGAAAAAACACAAAGCAAAUCGAAUCUAACUUCGAGCAAUUAAAAACCUAGAUUGAACACAUACCUGAAGCUCGCCUAUCACAUCCGAUAAUUUUCCGUUUUUAAACAACAAAGUACCAGUAUACC
RNAcentral lists this long non-coding RNA (766 nucleotides) under Solanum tuberosum (potato). RNAcentral's name for it is "long non-coding RNA (STUB_LNC007867)". The record is from RNAcentral. Lineage: Eukaryota; Viridiplantae; Streptophyta; Magnoliopsida; Solanales; Solanaceae.